UUAGAGUUUACAAAUUAUUACAAGACAAUAAUAGAAAUUAAAUAACAUAUAAAACCCAAAUUAAACAAAUUUAGCUUGUCUAAUGUUUUCCUUCAAUGGCAACUCUUCAAUAUCUUGAACUUUGAGUUCAAAACCUGUUAACAUGUAACAAAAAUAGAAGCAAGUAAUGAUAACUAAUUUGAUAUAGCAAAAGUGGUAGAACUCCUGGGCACACGCAUAAUAUUAACUAAUUCAUAUACACAAGCAGCGUAUGGACAUGUAAGAAUUCCAACAAGUCGUGGAGAAUAUGUAAUCACAUAUUGAGAAAGAAAGGGAUAAGGGAACUAAACUGGAUGCUUCCUCUAUUAUUUCAAGCAUACAUAAAAUAUGAACAAUGCAAAGAUUAAACUAGUGGAAGGAAACUAACCAAUUAUGCAGAAUUAUUUAUCAGCAAUGAAGAUCAGAUAAUGUACCCGAACACAGCAAAACAGCAACACAGAGAGGAACCUUUAUGUUUACCGGAAAACUUAUUUUUUAAAAGUAGAGAGCAAUGUAUUUUUAGUAUUCUUUUUUUUUUAGUCUAAGCCAAGUGUAAGAGUUGUCUUCUCCCUCAAAGAGUGAAGCAAAGACCUUGUUUUAUAGCAGAGGAGAGGUCGUGAUUUUAAAGGAAAAGAAUCAAUUAGGAGCAAUUAUGGAGAAAAUAUUUCCUUACCAAGAGAAACAUAUCAAUCAAACAUUACCAAAUAUAAUCACAUAAAAUUAGUCCUAUUUAAUUAAGGUAAAUCAAUCAACAAUAGUCAGAAUGUAAAAUAGGCAAAGAGAAUGAUUUUAGACAAAUAAUUGAUAUAGUUAAACUAAUAGACAUAAGUUAUUUAAGGAAAGGGGAUUACAUUCAGAUUUAUGCUCGCAUUUUAAAAUAAUUUAGCACAAUCAUAUAAAUCACAAAUUGGCACAGAAUAUAUUUAUGGUAAGACUUAUGAGCAAAGAAGAAUUAAUUCACGGAUUCAAUCACCAUAGUAAUCUUGCUCAAAUUUACUAAUAAGAGUCAAUUAGCAUGCUAAAAUUACCAUAAGUAAUGGAAUGCCUGCUGUUAAAAUCUGACUUCAUAUAAGCAAAUAUAUCGAUUAUUCCAAGAAUCAAACUUUUAUUAUUGAGCCGAAUUAACAAAGUCAUUCCACAUCCUUUAAAGAUUAUAUAUUAUAUCUAGAUUUGGCAGACAUAAUCAAGGACAAACAUGCUAGUAUUACUAAUACCCAUAAUACUAAAGCAAAAUGCAAGAUUUAUGCUCAUAUGGCUAAGCAAGACAAAUAAGUAAUAAACACAAACCAACAUAUAAUCACAAUACGAAAUCAAGCACUUAUUGGGUUAACGGGGCAAUAAUAAUAAACGAAAUCAAGCCGAUCAUGUAAGACUCGAAUUCUCAAAACAUCCAUAUCACAAUAGCCAAAGAUGUAAUGAAAAGCUUAAAACAUUUAGAUUAAAACUUACUAGGACGGAUCUGUUGAGAUCCGUCUUCGAACUCAAACUUCGCCGGAGACGAGAGGAAUGGAUACUCGAGGGUCUAGCUGUUUUUGUUGUUUGUUGUUGCUGUUAGCCAGAGCAGUUGAUCAGAGCACUGGAGCUGCUGGUUUUCGUGGUGGCUGCUGCUGCUGAUUUUCGUGGUGGCUGCUGCUGCUGCCAGUGUUGCUGGCUGCUGCUGCCAGUGUUGCUGGCUGUUGCUGGUGGCGCUGGUUUCUGCCGGUGUUGCUGCUUCUCUCGUCUGGUCGCUCGCCGGAGAUGGAGGCUGCUGGAGCUGCGAGAGGGGAGAAAGGAGAAGAGACGAGGGGGGGAGAGAGAGAGGGCGCCGGAGAGGGGAGGAUCUGCCUCCGAUGGCUUUCGCCGGAAAAAAUGGCGAGGUGGAGGGAUGGCGGCUGCUGGAUCUUUAAGUGAGAGGAGGAAAAGUGAAUAAACUUUAGGGUUAGUCUUUUAGGAUUUAAAAUAGGAAAGAUGAGAGGAAUCGAUCUUGUCCGUUGAUUUAAUUAUAGAUGAAGGGCCAGGAUUUAAACGGAAUGAGAUGAAUGGUCAGGAUUUAGAAGAGGGGUUUUAAAUCAGAUUUGAUUG
RNAcentral lists this long non-coding RNA (2079 nucleotides) under Solanum tuberosum (potato). Its description in RNAcentral is "long non-coding RNA (STUB_LNC006747)". Lineage: Eukaryota; Viridiplantae; Streptophyta; Magnoliopsida; Solanales; Solanaceae. The record is from RNAcentral.